UACGUAGGGGGCUAGCGUUGUCCGGAAUCAUUGGGCGUAAAGCGCGUGUAGGCGGCUCGGUAAGUCCGCUGUGAAAGUCGGGGGCUCAACCCUCGGAUGCCGGUGGAUACUGUCGGGCUAGAGUACGGAAGAGGCGAGUGGAAUUCCUGGUGUAGCGGUGAAAUGCGCAGAUAUCAGGAGGAACACCUAUUGCGAAGGCAGCUCGCUGGGACGUAACUGACGCUGAGACGCGAAAGCGUGGGGAGCAAACAGG
Molecule: ribosomal RNA, 253 nt
Filed under: uncultured bacterium
Lineage: Bacteria
Description: partial 16S ribosomal RNA
Rfam family: Bacterial small subunit ribosomal RNA
Source: RNAcentral